GCCGCAUCUGUGGCAUAUGGAAGUUCCCAGGCUAAGGUUCAAAUAUGAACUGCAGCUGAGACCUCUGCCACAGCCACAGCAACACCAUAUCCAAGUCGCAUGUGUGACCUAUGCCACAGCUUGCGACAACACCAGAUCCUUAACCCACUGAUCGAGGCCAGGGAUUGAACCCUCAUCCUCACGGACACUAUAUUGGGAUCUUAAUCCAUUGAGUCACAAUAGGAACUCUGACCCCAUGGGAUUUUCUUGUUGUUGUUGUUUUUCAAAGACAAUUGCUUCUUCCUGGAUUGGUAUUGUGUGAGAGGGGUUCAGGGCUAAAAUGAAUAGAUCUCUAACCAAAGAUCUUAAUAGGGAUAAAAAUUACUUUUGACAAAUCCCACUCUAAAUCAUUGUAGUGGGCAACUCUGAGCACCAAAAACGAACAAGAGUUACAAUGUCUGAGGGCUUUGUCUCCUUUGUCAACAAGAAUAUGUGGUUUAGAGGUACAAGCCACCAACCAGUGACCCCCUGGAAGGCCACCACCAAGAGAGCUGCUUCCUGACUCCAGUUCUGGGUGACCCUGUCUGUGGCUUGCUGAGGAGUCUACUGAUGUUCUACCCUAACUCCCACCCUUGCUGCUGUUACUCCCCUGAGUAACAGAACCCUGAGUUUAUUUCAGGCAACAGUGUACCCAACUAAACAGGUCCCAGCCUUCCUUGCAGCUAAGUGUGGCCAUGUGGUUAGAGUCUGCCCAAUGAGGUAUAAGCUGAGAAGUUGUCAGUGGAUUCCAGAAAGUCUCAUUAAAAGGGAGGGGACACUUUCACCUCUUUUCACUGCUCCUUCCUGUUGCCUGGAAUGAGGUGAUGGUUGCUGAGCUCAAGCAGCCAUCUUGGACUUAGAUGAUGCGAGGAGGAAAGCUUCCUGGUGGCAGAGUUCCCACUGGGGCUCAGCAGGUUCAAAACCCAAUGUAGUCUCUGUAAGGAUGCGGCUUCGAUGCCUGGCCUCACUCAGUGGGUUAAGGAUCUAGUGUUGCCACAAGCUGUAGCAUAGCUUGCAGAUGUGGCUUGAAUCUGAUAUUGCUGUGGCUGUAGCGCAGGCUGGCAGCUGCAGCUCUGAUUUGACCCCUAGCCCAGGAAUUUCCAUAUGCUGCAGGUGCAGCUGUAAAAAGAAAAAAAAAACAACCCAAAAAAACAAAAAACUUCUUGCUACUCUUUAAGGGUCUUUGUCAUCGUCAGCAGAUGCAGUUUCUAACUGAUAUGUGGAAGCUCACUGGGCCUCAUUUUGUGGAAGGGCAAAGGUGUCCACAGUUCCUCUAAGCCAACUGCUACUUCUGCUCUCUCUGGAAGAAUCAUCCUGCCCAAGAGGGCCCAAUUCUUUCACAACUUUC
This 1366-nucleotide long non-coding RNA is filed under the name Sus scrofa (pig). Its description in RNAcentral is "lncRNA (ENSSSCG00025077120.1)". Lineage: Eukaryota; Metazoa; Chordata; Mammalia; Artiodactyla; Suidae. The record is from RNAcentral.